RNAcentral lists this ribosomal RNA (453 nucleotides) under uncultured bacterium. RNAcentral describes it as "bacterial SSU rRNA". It matches the Rfam family "Bacterial small subunit ribosomal RNA", at positions 335 to 800 of the family's 1533-position model. The record is from RNAcentral.
ACUCCUACGGGAGGCAGCAGUGGGGAAUAUUGCACAAUGGGCGCAAGCCUGAUGCAGCAACGCCGUGUGAGUGAAGAAGGUUUUCGGAUCGUAAAACUCUGUCCUAAAGGGAAAGAAAAAAUGACGGUACCUUAGGAGGAACGCCCCGGCUAACUACGUGCCAGCAGCCGCGGUAAUACGUAGGGGGCAAGCGUUAUCCGGAAUCACUGGGCGUAAAGGGUGCGUAGGCGGCUUAGCAAGCCAGGGGUGAAAGGCAUUGGCUCAACCAAUGUAAGCCUUUGGAACUGUUAAGCUUGAGUGCAGGAGAGGUAAGUGGAAUUUCCUAGUGUAGAGGUGAAAUUCGUAGAUAUUAGGAGGAACACCAGUGGCGAAGGCGACUUACUGGACUGUAACUGACGCUGAUGCACGAAAGCGUGGGUAGCGAACAGGAUUAGAUACCCUGGUAGGUCAGUC